RNAcentral lists this unclassified non-coding RNA (3672 nucleotides) under Portunus trituberculatus (swimming crab). RNAcentral's name for it is "myb-like protein X, transcript variant X2". Lineage: Eukaryota; Metazoa; Arthropoda; Malacostraca; Decapoda; Portunidae. The record is from RNAcentral.
CUGCAAAAGCAGAUAUUCCGACAUUUACAAUUUUGAUUGACGGAAGAUAUUGAGACCAAUGUCUUGCUGCAACCUUUUCAUCGUGAUCUGCGUGCUGGCCGCCUUCGGGGGCGGCAUGGGAGACGUGCAAGAGCACGUCUCCUUCAUGGAGAAGUAUGGUGCCCCCGUGGAGGGGGGCACAGGGGAGAUGGAGGUGGGUUCCGAGGGGGAACCCAUCUUGAUGGACUAUUUCAUGCAUGACGAAACGACCACUGAUAUGGAUGAUUCGAACGAAGUUACCUCAGACAAGACCAUGAGUGAUGAGAAUGUAACUAUUGUUGAAACAAAGGAACCGUUGAAUACAACCUCGGUAAAAGGCAUUGAAGGCAAAAAUGAAACAGUUCUGGAAACUACGAAAGAAGAGAACAUAACAUUAGAGAAAGCAAUUGAUAACAAGAACGGAACCAUUGUUGAAACUAAGGAAGAGAACAGAACUGUGGAAAAUCCUGUUGCCGAGAAUGAAAGCACUGUUAAAACCAUUGAGCACAGAAACAAAACGGUACAAACACCUGCUGGUGAUAAACAUGGGACAGAUAUUGAAGCCAGUAAAGAGCAGGAAAAUAAAAUUUUGGAUAAGAUGGUUGAAAAGAAGAGAAAUGAUUUGGAAACUAAAGAACAGGAAAACGAAAUCUUGCUAACAAUCCCUGUUGCUAAGAACGAAACAUUUCUGGAAACUAAAGAACAAGAAAACAAAACUGUGGAGAAAGCAGUUAUUGAUGAUAAGAACGAAACCAUCGUCGAAACUAAACAGCAAGAAAACAAAACUGUGGAAAAGACCGAUGAUAGAAAUGGAACCAUUGUUGAAACUAAACAGCAAGAAAACAAAACUGUGGAAAAGACCGAUGAUAGAAAUGGAACCAUUAUUGAAACUAAACAGCAAGACAACAAAACUGUGGAAAAGACCGAUGAUAGAAAUGGAACCAUUAUUGAAACUAAACAGCAAGACAACAAAACUGUGGAAAAGACCGAUGAUAGAAAUGGAACCAUUAUUGAAACUAAACACCUAGACAACAAAACUGUGGAAAAGACCGAUGAUAGAAAUGGAACCAUUAUUGAAACUAAACAGCAAGACAACAAAACUGUGGAAAAGACCGAUGAUAGAAAUGGAACCAUUAUUGAAACUAAACAGCAAGACAACAAAACUGUGGAAAAGACCGAUGAUAGAAAUGGAACCAUUAUUGAAACUAAACAGCAAGACAACAAAACUGUGGAAAAGACCGAUGAUAGAAAUGGAACCAUUAUUGAAACUAAACACCAAGACAACAAAACUGUGGAGAAUAAAGUUGAAGAUAGGAACGGAACUAAUGUUGAAACGAAACACCAAGAGAAUAAAACUGAGGAGAAAAAAGUUGAUGAUAAGAACGGAACCAUUGUUACAGCUAAUCAGCAAGACAACAAAACUGUGGAAAAAGUUAUUGAUGACAAAAACAUAACCAUUGUAGAAGCGAAACAGCAAGACAACAGAACUGUGGAAAAUCCCACUGGUAAUAAGAUCGGAACCAUUGUCCAAACGAAACAAGAGGAGAAUAAAACUGUGGAAAAUGAAGUUGAUCAGAACGGAACCAUUGUGGAAAUGAAACAGCAAGACAACAGAACUGUAGAAAAAGCAGUUAUUGAUGACAAAAACGUAACCAUUGUGGAAACGAAACAAGAGGAGAAUAAAACUGUGGAAAAUCCCACUGGUAAUAAGAUCGGAACCAUUGUCCAAACGAAACAUGAAGAGAAUAAAACUGUGGAAAAUUCCACUGGUGAUAAGAGCGGAGGAGAUAUUGAGAUUAGCAAAGAGGAAGAGAACAAGCCCUUGCUGCAAGGGGUGCACGAUAAGAUCGAAACGGAUGAAACAAUUAGUAAAGAGAUAGAAAACAAAACAUUUGAAAAAGCCGUUGCCAAAAACAACGAAACAUUUGAGGGAACUAAUGAGCAGGAAAACAAAAUGAUAUUUUCAAGGAACGAAACAGAUGCGGAAACUAAAGAACCACAUGAGGAAAUUGCGUUGCCACUAAUCCCAGGUGCUAAGAACGAAACAUUUGAGGGAACUAAUGAGCAGGAAAACAAAAUGAUAUUUUCAAGGAACGAAACAGAUGCGGAAACUAAAGAACCACGUGAGGAAAUUGCGUUGCCACUAAUCCCAGGUGCUAAAACGAAACAUUUGAGGGAACUAAUGAGCAGGAAAACAAAAUGAUAUUUUCAAGGAACGAAACAGAUGCGGAAACUAAAGAACCACGUGAGGAAAUUGCGUUGCCACUAAUCCCAGGUGCUAAAAACGAAACAUUUGAGGGAACUAAUGAGCAGGAAAACAAAAUGAUAUUUUCAAGGAACGAAACAGAUGCGGAAACUAAAGAACCACAUGAGGAAAUUGCGUUGCCACUAAUCCCAGGUGCUAAAAACGAAACAUUUGAAGGAACUAAUGAGCAGGAAAACAAAAUGAUAUUUUCAAGGAACGAAACAGAUGCGGAAACUAAAGAACCACAUGAGGAAAUUGCGUUGCCACUAAUCCCAGGUGCUAAGAACGAAACUAAAGAGCAAGAAAACAAAACGGUAUUUUCGAGGAACGAAACGGUUGGCGAAACUAUAGAACCACACGAGGAAAUUUUACCACGAGCGAACAUAACUCACGAGAGCGAAACAGAAACUGAAGGAAACGAAAGCGAAAUUGUACAGAACAAAUCGAUGAAUCUAGAGACCACGAUAGCGGAAAUUGAAACGACCACGAUAGCGAUUGAGGAAAAAACGGAAAGUAUUCAGAAAUUAAAUGAAGAUCUCAGUAAACAAACAAUACUUCUGCAGAACCGAACAGAAGAUCUUGAGAAAAAAAUCAAAUGAAAUGAAAAACAAAAUACUAGAAGUGGAAAACAAAACGAUGCGAUUAGAAAAGGAAUCAGAUGCGAUGUUAAUGGAGAGUGUCAUAAUAGGACGAACGAUGCUGCGUGUGGAGACAGAAACCAAUGACAUUGAAAACAAAGCUGUGGGUUUGAAGGAGACGACCGAGAAUCUCCAGAACAAGACAGGAGACCUGCAGGAAGGAACUCAGAGUCUGCAGGCUCAGAUUGAAGCUCUACAGAACAAGAUGAUGCACUUAGAGAACAUGAUGGAAAAAAUCUUGAACAUGACAGUAGAAAUUGAAGACCAUACAUUAGGUCUGGAAAAAGAAACACUGGAUUUGGAGAAUAAGACAGUCGAAUUGGAAGACAAGGUGACUGGUAUUUAUAAUUGGACUCAACAGAUGCAGAAGCGAACGUCGCAACUGGAGAACAAGACUACUGGACUGCGGAGCAAGACAGUAGGCUUGCAAAACAAGGCAUCAGUCCUGAAAAAGAAAGCUUUUCCUGCAGAUGAUGAUGUGUUGUCUGCGAGGAAAAACAGUAGGCGUGUAAGACAACAACGCCGCCGGAAAACAAAACAACCCUACUACAACUGUGGAAAGACAAACUGCUGCAGUACAAUGUACAACUCAAGAAAGUACGAACUGUAACCGAAAGGGCAAUCCACAGUGGCGCUGCUGAGGCAGACAGAUGACAGAGAGGCCGAGGAGAUCUGAACGAAGGCUCCUCGUCCCUGUCAUGGAAAGGAAGGAUCUUUUCUUUACCUUACCUUUCCGAACUGAGUGACUUUUUCUCUAUGACUUUCUAAUAA